CUACGGAGGGUGCAAGCGUUAUUCGGAAUCACUGGGCGUAAAGGACGCGUAGGCGGGUUGGCAAGUCAGAUGUGAAAUCCUACAGCUUAACUGUAGAACUGCAUUUGAAACUGCUAACCUAGAGUAUGGGAGGGGGAGAUGGAAUUAGUGGUGUAGGGGUAAAAUCCGUAGAUAUCACUAGGAAUACCGAAAGCGAAGGCGAUCUCCUGGAACAUAACUGACGCUAAGGCGUGAAAGCGUGGGGAGCAAACAGCAUUAGAAACCCUAGUAGUCC
RNAcentral lists this ribosomal RNA (274 nucleotides) under uncultured bacterium. RNAcentral's name for it is "partial 16S ribosomal RNA". It matches the Rfam family "Bacterial small subunit ribosomal RNA", at positions 523 to 796 of the family's 1533-position model. The record is from RNAcentral.